RNAcentral lists this unclassified non-coding RNA (210 nucleotides) under Hevea brasiliensis (rubber tree). Lineage: Eukaryota; Viridiplantae; Streptophyta; Magnoliopsida; Malpighiales; Euphorbiaceae. The record is from RNAcentral.
GCAAUUAGGCAAAGCAGGAAGUUGUGAGUAUAGUUAGCAAAUAGUUCCACUGGACUAUUUUUGAAGCCUUAGAUUCAAUUUCCUUUAUACAAGCAUCCACCUCAUUGCAUUUAAAAAUAACUGUCGUAACGACUUGAUUUAGGGUGAUAUAGGAGAAAUUUUUCCGAUGAAAACUGAACUAAUCAACUUGCUUUUAGUUAUUGCGAGGAA